GUGAGGAAUAUUGGUCAAUGGGCGAGAGCCUGAACCAGCCAAGUCGCGUGAAGGAUGAAGGUUUUAUGAAUUGUAAACUUCUUUUGCAGGGGAAUAAAGUACGGUACGUGUACCGUUUUGUAUGUACUCUGCGAAUAAGGAUCGGCUAACUCCGUGCCAGCAGCCGCGGUAAUACGGAGGAUCCAAGCGUUAUCCGGAUUUAUUGGGUUUAAAGGGUGCGCAGGCGGGUUGAUAAGUCAGCGGUGAAAGUUUGCAGCUUAACUGUAAAAUUGCCGUUGAAACUGUCGAUCUUGAGUGCAAAUGAGGUAAGCGGAAUGUGUUGUGUAGCGGUGAAAUGCUUAGAUAUAACACAGAACACCGAUUGCGAAGGCAGCUUACUGGGAUGCAACUGACGCUCAUGCACGAAAGCGUGGGGAUCAAACAGGAUUAGAAACCCGUGUAGUCC
This 445-nucleotide ribosomal RNA is filed under the name uncultured bacterium. Its description in RNAcentral is "partial 16S ribosomal RNA". It matches the Rfam family "Bacterial small subunit ribosomal RNA", at positions 354 to 796 of the family's 1533-position model. The record is from RNAcentral.